GGCGGCGUAGCUCAGGUGGUAGAGCAGCGGAAUCAUAAUCCGCGUGUCGGGGGUUCAAGUCCCUCCGCCGCUACCA
This 76-nucleotide transfer RNA is filed under the name Alphaproteobacteria bacterium. RNAcentral describes it as "tRNA-Met". It matches the Rfam family "tRNA". Rfam says of the family: Transfer RNA (tRNA) molecules are approximately 80 nucleotides in length. Their secondary structure includes four short double-helical elements and three loops (D, anti-codon, and T loops). Further hydrogen bonds mediate the characteristic L-shaped molecular structure. tRNAs have two regions of fundamental functional importance: the anti-codon, which is responsible for specific mRNA codon recognition, and the 3' end, to which the tRNAs corresponding amino acid is attached (by aminoacyl-tRNA synthetases). tRNAs cope with the degeneracy of the genetic code in two manners: having more than one tRNA (with a specific anti-codon) for a particular amino acid; and 'wobble' base-pairing, i.e. permitting non-standard base-pairing at the 3rd anti-codon position. The record is from RNAcentral. Lineage: Bacteria; Pseudomonadati; Pseudomonadota; Alphaproteobacteria. RNAcentral also lists the same sequence under 2 other names.